AGUGAACGCUGGCGGUAGGCCUAACACAUGCAAGUCGAACGGCAGCACAGGAGAGCUUGCUCUCUGGGUGGCGAGUGGCGGACGGGUGAGGAAUACAUCGGAAUCUACUUUUUCGUGGGGGAUAACCUAGGGAAACUUAGGCUAAUACCGCAUGCGACCUACGGGUGAAAGCGGGGGAUCGCAAGACCUCGCGCGACAGGAUGAGCCGAUGUCCGAUUAGCUAGUUGGCGGGGUAAAGGCCCACCAAGGCGACGAUCGGUAGCUGGUCUGAGAGGAUGAUCAGCCACACUGGGACUGAGACACGGCCCAG
This 310-nucleotide ribosomal RNA is filed under the name uncultured bacterium. Its description in RNAcentral is "bacterial SSU rRNA". It matches the Rfam family "Bacterial small subunit ribosomal RNA", at positions 29 to 334 of the family's 1533-position model. The record is from RNAcentral.